This 747-nucleotide ribosomal RNA is filed under the name uncultured fungus. Its description in RNAcentral is "eukaryotic LSU rRNA". The stretch from base 114 to 747 matches the Rfam family "Eukaryotic large subunit ribosomal RNA", at positions 1 to 649 of the family's 3401-position model. Lineage: Eukaryota; Fungi. The record is from RNAcentral.
GCUGUCACGGCGGCCCCUAAACUCAGUGGCGGGACCGUGCGGCUCUCAGCGUAGUAAUUUAUCUCGCUACAGGGUCCGGACGGUGCUAGCCAGCAACCCCAACUUCUUAAGGUUGACCUCGGAUCAGGUAGGGAUACCCGCUGAACUUAAGCAUAUCAAUAAGCGGAGGAAAAGAAACCAACAGGGAUUACCUCAGUAACGGCGAGUGAAGCGGUAACAGCUCAAAUUUGAAAUCUGGCUCUUUCAGGGUCCGAGUUGUAAUUUGUAGAAGAUGCUUCGAGUGUGGUCCCGGUCUAAGUUCCUUGGAACAGGACGUCAUAGAGGGUGAGAAUCCCGUAUGCGACUGGGUGCCUUCGCUCAUGUGAAGCUCUUUCGACGAGUCGAGUUGUUUGGGAAUGCAGCUCAAAAUGGGUGGUAUAUUUCAUCUAAAGCUAAAUAUUGGCCAGAGACCGAUAGCGCACAAGUAGAGUGAUCGAAAGAUGAAAAGCACUUUGGAAAGAGAGUUAAACUGUACGUGAAAUUGUUGAAAGGGAAGCGCUUGCAACCAGACUUGCCCGCCGUCGAUCAUCCGGGGUUCUCCCCGGUGCACUCGGCGGUGUUCAGGCCAGCAUCGGUUUUGGUGGUGGGAUAAAGGCCUUGGGAAUGUAGCUUCUUUCGGGGAGUGUUAUAGCCCUCGGUGCAAUGCCGCCUACCGGGACCGAGGACCGCGCUUCGGCUAGGAUGCUGGCGUAAUGGUUGUAAGCGACC